Long non-coding RNA from Prinia subflava (tawny-flanked prinia), 4169 nucleotides. RefSeq lists it as uncharacterized. The transcript has 3 exons. Lineage: Eukaryota; Metazoa; Chordata; Aves; Passeriformes; Cisticolidae. The record is from RefSeq and is a predicted model, not a curated record.
CCCUGCUGGUCUCCCUGCUGGGGACUGCAGAGGCAGGAGGGACCUGUGGCUGCAUGUGCCAGGAUGCCCACGCUGGCAGGGGCAGGCAGGGAGCCCUGCUCGCUGCUCCUCGGGGGCAGGAGCAGCCGUGCCUGGGACCCCUGCCCUGGGACCCCUGCCCUGGGACCCCUGCCCUCGGCACGGGCAGGCUCUGGCAGCAGCCAUGGGAGCAGAGAUAAAAGGUGCUUUUGGGAUCUGGCAUGAUGGGUGGGGAGCACAGGCUUUAAUAGACAUGUUCAUCUUUCAGCAGUGUGUUUUGCAUGUAAUAAUGUCAGCACACUUCUCACUCUGGCAGAAAUUCCACAGAUAAUUGGAAAGAAGUAAAAAUGAAAACAUUAGAAUUUGCCAUGUCAUAUGUUAACUUUUUAUUAUUGUAUGAUGCCAAUGGUCCACUGACAGAUGCUGUGUUAUUAACAUUUGAUUAAAAAUCACUUCAGGUCUAAAGCAGCCUGUUCAGAAGAGAACAUCUUGACAAGCCUGGUGGUUUGUGAUUGACAAUUAAUAACAUUCUGUAUGUCACAACACAGAUAGUGUGACUUAUUGGUGCUGGUGUAAUGCAACACUUUUCAUCUGAGCUCUUCAAAUUGGUACAUAGAAAUAGGAGAGAAGGAGCCUAAUUCAGCUGACUUUGAUUACAAACACACCAGCCAGUGCAGAGAUCUCCAUCCCAGAGCAGAUCAGCAGUGCUCAACAAGACAGGCCCUCAUCCCAGACCUCCACUGCACGGGAAAGGACUUCACAUCCCAUUUCACCACCAAACUUCUGUGCAGGAGCUCACUAUUCAAAUACAUGGUUACAGCAGCUACUUGCAGCAAAAAACUACGUAUCUUAUUUCACCAAAACUUAGAAGGAAAACAUUAAUUCACUUAGAUAUUAAAAUAAUUUGUAACUGGAAAGAUGAAUGGUCAAUCCUUCAAUGGUUUGGUCAGGAACUCGUAAUUGCACACUACUGCCAGUGAGGUCUGAUGUUCAUGUGUUAAUAGGGAAAUUCAUUAAAAACAUGUAAAUUACAUUCUUUGGGUGAGAGUUGGAAUGUACCAUUUCAAUUGUCUCUGCUCUAGCAAAGGGGAAAUUCUGAGAAACUUUGCUCAUGCUUUUCCUGCUUUGAAAUAAAGGCUUUGGCAGCCCUGGGCACAUUUCUGUCCAGAAAAAAUGCUAAAAAUGCUGCUGUGGACUCACAUGCUGCACCAUGGCCACCAGAAGUCUGGGCAGCCCUACAUGUGAGCAGGCUGAACCUCUGCAAAUCCAACCAGCUCCAGACAAAUGUGUCCUUGCCAUCUUCAGUGCAGGAUUUACUGGAAACCCUUUUCCUGGCUGUAUGGCCCCAAAGGGCCACGGUGUCUGCCCUGUCCUGCCCUGUCCCACACGUGGCUGCCACCCACCUCGUGUGUCCCUGCACUGCUCCCCUGGCAGGGCAGCCACUGCCAGCACCACCUCGCUGUGCUGCACCCUGAGCAAACAGUUACGUGCUGGAGCAAUGCAAACACUUCCCAGCCCUAAUGCAGUAAGCAGGGGAAAUAAUUACAGAUUUCCAAGGUUCAACAGGGAAUACUUCUGAGAAAUGCGUCCUCCACUGGGAGUUUCAUAACCAUUUAAUCUAAUUUUUCUUGAUGUUUUGAUCUUCCUCUUAAACAAGGCAUUUGUCAUUAGCUUUCAAGGAGACAAGUUGCUAAUACAUUACACUCUUAAAAGGCCCACAGUUAGUGUCAAUGUCUUCUGAUGGCUGUUCACUAACAGUACAUGAAAGAAUUGCCAGUGUCAGUUCCUUUCCACAUGGCUUCAGCCGUGAUGGCAGGACGGUCCUGUCCCAGCAGUGCUGGCAAGGACACUGUGCUGGGGGGCCCAGGGUCAGCCUUGUCCCCUCCACCGUCCUGUCCCCUCAUUGUGGUGGUUUUGCCACCUGGCUCACGCUCAGGUGAUUCUGAGUUUCUCCUGAUAUUUCUGGGCAGACAUAAAGCAAAGAUAUACCAGGAAAAGGAAGCACAGGAACCUCACCACAGCCAUUCCUGCCCCCAGCAUGUUCUCUUGCUGCCAGUACAGGAGCACCUGCAAAACCCAUGGCACGUGCUGUGCCCUCCACCAGAGAGCCAGAGAAACCCUGGCUGGACUGCCCAGACCCACCUGCAGUCUCUGCUCCUUCUGCUCUUCCAACAGUGUCAACAAAGCAGGUGGAAAAUAUAUAUUUUUAACUUCUUGGAUGACAUAACUUGCAUAUUAAAUAAUAAUGAGCCAAUAAAUUACAAGAAACUAAACAACCAGAAGAAUAUGUAUGUGAAGUUUGGAGUGUUUAUAAUCGAAUAAAUCAUUCAUGAUGUAUAAACUCUGUAUAGCUAAAUGCAUCAUUUACUGAACUUCAUCACCUUUCACAACAUCCCCACCUCUACCUGGCUGGUUUCGGAGCAGCUGUGGAUCUCUGCAGAGAGGCUGGUGAUCAGCGGAUUACAGAGAUUGGCAGGAUUUAGGCAAUGGAAGGAAGCAUCAUAGCAGGAGAGGCACAUCCAAACAGAGCAUUUGCUUUUUACUUGGGAGGCACCACAAACCUUUCCAGCAGCUGCUGGAAUUCCUGAUGCUGGGGCUGGCGGCAGCAACCCCUGCAACUGUAGAAAAAGCUGCUACACCUGGCUUCUCUUUCUCUCCCUGGUGUUGACUUUGCAGUGCAGAAAUGUCCCUGUUCCUGCCGUGUCCUCCCGGCCCUGCACACCUGCACACGGCCGGUCCGUGCCCAGCCCGGGGCAGGCGGGGCUGCUCCAAGGGGAGGGCGCAGCGCUGCCGCUGCCCUGCGCACAGCGGGACAGCCCCGGAGCCUGCCCCACCCUGGGGUCCCGAUUCCCCACGGCCCCGGUGCUGCCGGGCUCCCAGGCCGGGCUCGGGACUGACCGUGGAGGAGCCGGUGGCACUGACCGUGGAGGAGCCGGUGGCACUGACCGUGGAGGAGCCGGUGACACUGACCGUGGAGGAGCCGGUGACACUGACCGCUGCCCCGGGCUGGUGGCACUGACCACUGAGGAGCUGGUGGCACUGACCGCUGUCCCAGGCCGGUGGCACUGACCACUGCCCCGGGCCGGUGGCACCGACCGCAGAGCAGCCGUGGCCGGGGCGAUGCUCUUGGCGCACCUGUCACACGCAAAGCCCAUUAAUGGUGGCAGUUUGUGACACAACCGAAGGCUCCUCUAAGGGCAGCUCUGCCGCGAUUCCGCCGCGCUGACUUUGGAGGCGUUCGCUGGUGUGGCGAGCUCAGCUUCCCCCUCUGCUUCCCAGGCUCCAGAGAAUAAUCCUUCCUCUGGCUGGCUCUGCUGCUGCUAUGGCAAUAUUUUCUCCCCCAUCGUGGUAAUCACGCAAUGGUCUCUGAGAACAGCAGGAGAAGCUGUGCCUGGUAGAUGCAUAAAAGAGCUCUCUCUUCUUCAAAGGCCAUAAGAGCCUGUGACUCCACCAACCUCUUAAAUGGAAAAGGUAAUUCCCGUGGAAGCUCUUGUGAGGCAGGGCAGGGCUGUGUGAAGAGGGAUGAAGGACAUGGAUGCUCAGAAGGCUCCAGAUCAGGGUAAGAAGUGCUCGUGGAAUUAUCCUUUGAAAUGUACACUUUGCAGGAAGGCCCCAGGGAUCAUCAAACUGAGGAGCUGGGCUGAGUUGCACCAUCUGCUUGGGAUUUAGGACAGGCAGAGCUGUGAAAAUAUGAAUUAAAAGUCCAGAGAAGCAGGAAAUAGUUUCCCCUUGCCCCAUAUUUUGGAAAUUGUACCCAGCAAAGCUGGGUGGCGGAAGCCACUCUCACGCUGUGACAUUCCCAGUGACAGGGCUGGGUCACUGGGGCCCAGCUGGCACCCCAAACACCAGACCUGCCCCGUGGGCUUUGCUGCCUGGCAGCAGCCCUCCCUGAGCAAGGCUGCUCUGGCAGCCUCAGGCACAGCCCCAGUUCCUGUAUUCAGUUCUUGCUGCAUCGGCUCCCCAGGCAGCAGGCAAGGGGCCGAUGCCCACGCAGAGCCCUGCACCCCUGGGCUCUCCUGGUCACCAGCUGCCUGCUACUCACUGCACAGUCCUGAUUGUGACUUUAGGAGCUCCAGGAAUGGGUAUAUCAUCUGUUUCUCAUUGCGUUCCCUUUCCUGUGGCUUGCUGAAGCCGAUGUGCUGAGAAAUGCA